GAUGAACGCUGGCGGCGUGCCUAAUACAUGCAAGUCGAGCGAACAGACUAGGAACUUGCUCCUCUUACGUUAGCGGCGAACGGGUGAGUAACACGUGGAUAACCUACCUAUAAGACUGGGAUAACUUCUGGAAACCGGAGCUAAUACCGGAUAAUAUAUUUAACCGCAUGGUUUAAUAUUGAAAGACGGUUUUGCUUUCACUUAUAGUUGUAUCCGCGCCGCAUUAGCUAGUUGGUAAGGUAACGGCUUACCAAGGCAACGAUGAGUAGCCGACCUGAGAGGGUGAUCGGCAACACUGGAACUGAGAAACGGUCAAGACUCCUACGGGAGGCAGCAGUAGGGAAUCUUCCGAAAUGGGCGAAAGCUUGACGGAGAAGCGCCGCGUGAGUGAUGAAGGUCUUCGGAUCGUAAAACUCUGUUAUUAGGGAAGAACAAAUGUGUAAGUAACUAUGCACGUAUUGACGGUACCUAAUCAGAAAGCCACGGCUAACUACGUG
Molecule: ribosomal RNA, 497 nt
Filed under: uncultured bacterium
Lineage: Bacteria
Description: partial 16S ribosomal RNA
Rfam family: Bacterial small subunit ribosomal RNA
Source: RNAcentral